This 489-nucleotide ribosomal RNA is filed under the name uncultured bacterium. RNAcentral describes it as "partial 16S ribosomal RNA". It matches the Rfam family "Bacterial small subunit ribosomal RNA", at positions 30 to 506 of the family's 1533-position model. The record is from RNAcentral.
AUUGAACGCUGGCGGCAGGCCUAACACAUGCAAGUCGAACGGUAACAGGAAGCAGCUUGCUGCUUUGCUGACGAGUGGCGGACGGGUGAGUAAUGUCUGGGAAACUGCCCGAUGGAGGGGGAUAACUACUGGAAACGGUAGCUAAUACCGCAUAACGUCGCAAGACCAAAAAGGGGGACCUUAGGGCCUCUUGCCAUCGGAUGUGCCCAGAUGGGAUUAGCUAGUAGGUGGGGUAACGGCUCACCUAGGCGACGAUCCCUAGCUGGUCUGAGAGGAUGACCGGCAAACCGGGACUGGAGAACGGGUCCGGACCCCUACGGAAGGCAGCGUUGGGGAAUAUGGCACAAUGGGCGAAAGCCUGAUGCAGCCAGGCGGCGUGUAGGAAGAAGGCUUCCGGGUUGUAAAUUCCUUUCAGCGGGGAGAAAGGGAGUAAAGUUAAUACCUUUGCUCAUUGACGUUCCCCGAAGAAGAGAAACCGCCUAACCCCGU